AAUACGAAGGGGGCUAGCGUUGUUCGGAAUUACUGGGCGUAAAGGGCGCGUAGGCGGUUGUGCAAGUCAGAUGUGAAAGCCCUGGGCUCAACCCAGGAGGUGCAUUUGAUACUGCAUGGCUAGAGUGUCGGAGAGGAUGGUGGAAUUCCCAGUGUAGAGGUGAAAUUCGUAGAUAUUGGGAAGAACACCGGCGGCGAAGGCGACCAUCUGGACGACAACUGACGCUGAGGCGCGAAAGCGUGGGGAGCGAACAGGA
RNAcentral lists this ribosomal RNA (256 nucleotides) under uncultured prokaryote. RNAcentral describes it as "partial 16S ribosomal RNA". It matches the Rfam family "Bacterial small subunit ribosomal RNA", at positions 522 to 777 of the family's 1533-position model. The record is from RNAcentral.